Molecule: RNA transcript, 3434 nt
Organism: Phoenix dactylifera (date palm)
Lineage: Eukaryota; Viridiplantae; Streptophyta; Magnoliopsida; Arecales; Arecaceae
Gene name: coatomer subunit beta'-1
Source: RefSeq, a predicted model, not a curated record
UGCGAACUGCCCCCCGUUCCUCCCAUCGCUCCCGAAGCCAGAGCAUCUAUAUUUCUGCUUCCCCCUCGAUCUUUCUUUUCUUCUCCUUCAUCGGAGAAGAUUCGUCGUUCCCCAGCUUUCCCCCUCGUCCCCUCCGUUCUCGGCCGUUCCAAAUCCUAGAUUUCUAGGGUUUUUGGCUUCUUGAUCCGCUUGGAUUUGCCCGCAGCCCCGCGCCUCUCGAUCGCCUCGCGGCUUCGGAGGCCAAGAUGCCUCUCAGACUAGAAAUAAAGAGGAAACUCGCUCAAAGGUCAGAAAGAGUAAAAUCUGUGGAUCUGCAUCCAACAGAGCCAUGGGUUCUUGCAAGUCUUUAUUCUGGAAGUGUCUGCAUCUGGAACUACCAAACACAGACUAUUGUGCAAUCGUUUGAGAUGACUGAAUUACCUGUGCGAUCAGCAAAAUUUAUAGCACGCAAACAGUGGGUUGUUGCUGGAGCAGAUGAUAUGUUCAUUCGGGUGUAUAAUUAUAAUACAAUGGACAAGGUUAAAGUUUUUGAAGCACACACAGAUUACAUUAGGUGUGUGGCUGUCCACCCAACACUUCCAUAUGUUCUGUCAUCAUCUGAUGACAUGUUGAUAAAGCUUUGGGACUGGGAGAAGGGUUGGAUGUGUACUCAGAUUUUUGAGGGACAUUCUCACUAUGUGAUGCAAGUCACUUUUAAUCCAAAAGACACCAAUACUUUUGCAAGUGCCUCCCUUGAUCGUACAAUAAAGAUUUGGAAUCUUGGUUCGCCAGACCCAAAUUUUACAUUAGAUGCCCAUUCCAAAGGAAUAAAUUGUGUUGAUUACUUUACUGGUGGUGAUAGGCCGUAUCUAAUUACUGGUUCUGAUGACCAUACUGCAAAGGUCUGGGAUUACCAAACCAAGAGUUGUGUUCAAACACUGGAAGGCCACACGCACAAUGUUUCAGCUGUCUGUUUUCACCCUGAGCUGCCAAUUAUAAUAACGGGUUCUGAAGAUGGAACUGUUAGGAUAUGGCAUGGGACUACAUAUCGCCUUGAGAACACACUAAAUUAUGGACUUGAACGGGUUUGGGCAGUGGGAUACAUGAAAGGAUCAAGGAGGGUCGUAAUUGGUUAUGAUGAAGGAACCAUUAUGAUAAAAAUUGGCCGUGAAGUACCUGUUGCUAGUAUGGACAACAGUGGGAAAAUCAUAUGGGCUAAGCAUAAUGAAAUUCAAACUGUAAACAUAAAAACAAUUGGUGCAGAUUUUGAGGUGACGGACGGAGAAAGAUUGCCUUUGGCUGUGAAGGAGUUGGGGAGUUGUGAUCUUUAUCCACAAAGCCUAAAGCACAAUCCGAAUGGAAGAUUUGUUGUUGUCUGUGGAGAUGGAGAAUACAUUAUAUAUACCGCUUUGGCAUGGAGAAAUAGAUCGUUUGGCUCUGCUCUGGAAUUUGUCUGGUCAUCUGAUGGAGAGUAUGCAGUUAGGGAAAAUACUUCAAGAAUUAGGAUAUUCAGCAAGAACUUUCAGGAAAAGAAAAGUAUACGGCCUACGUUCUCAGCAGAACGUAUUUUUGGGGGAACUCUACUGGCUAUGUGUUCCAAUGACUUUAUUUGCUUUUAUGAUUGGGCUGAAUGCAGAUUAAUUCGGCGGAUUGAUGUCAAUGUCAAAAAUCUCUAUUGGGCUGAUAGUGGUGACCUAGUUACAAUUGCCAGUGACACAUCGUUUUACAUCCUAAAGUAUAAUAGAGACACUGUUUCUUCUUGUCUGGAAAGUGGAAAGGCCAUGGAUGAGCAAGGUGUUGACGAUGCAUUUGAGCUUCUUCAUGAAACAAAUGAGCGGGUCCGGACAGGACUAUGGGUUGGAGACUGUUUCAUCUACAAUAAUUCAUCUUGGAGAUUAAACUAUUGUGUUGGUGGUGAGGUCACCACCAUGUUCCACUUGGACCGCCCUAUGUACUUGCUUGGAUAUCUUGCUAGUCAAAGUCGGGUGUAUCUUAUUGACAAGGAGUUUAAUGUCAUGGGGUACACCUUACUCCUUAGUUUGAUUGAAUAUAAAACACUUGUGAUGCGUGGGGACUUGGAGCGUGCAAAUGAAAUUUUACCAUCAAUUCCCAAGGAACAUCACAAUAGUGUAGCUCAUUUCUUGGAGUCUCGGGGUAUGCUAGAGGAUGCUUUGGAAGUAGCUACUGAUCCAAAUUACAAAUUUGAUCUUGCUAUUCAGCUUGGGAGGUUAGAGGUUGCAAAGGCAAUAGCCCUUGAAGUGCAAAGUGAAUCUAAAUGGAAACAGUUGGGAGAAUUAGCUAUGUCUACUGGGAAGUUAGAGCUGGCUGAGGAAUGUUUGUCGCAUGCAGUGGAUUUGAGUGGUUUAUUGCUUCUUUACUCUGCUUUUGGUGAUGCUGAGGGAAUAACUAAACUUGCAUCUCUUGCUAAAGAGCAAGGGAAAAACAAUGUUGCAUUUCUUUGUCUAUUUUUGCUAGGUAGAUUGGAAGACUGCCUUCAGCUAUUGGUGGAGAGCAAUCGUAUACCUGAAGCAGCAUUGAUGGCACGGUCCUACCUGCCAAGCAAAGUCUCUGAGAUUGUUGCAAUUUGGAAAAACGAUCUUAACAAGGUCAAUCCUAAAGCUGCUGAGUCUUUGGCUGAUCCUGAAGAGUAUCCAAAUCUAUUUGAAGACUGGCAGGUUGCUCUUGCCGUUGAGUCUAAUCUUGCCCAUGAAAGACAUAAUUAUCCUCCUGCUAAUGAAUAUUUAAGCUACGCUGAAAAGUCAAAUAUCAGUCUUGUUGAAGCAUUCAAACACAUGCAAGUUGAUGAAGAGAAUUUGCCGCUCGAAAAUGGAGAUUCUGGCCAAGAGGUAAUGGAUGAGAAUGUCGAAGAGGAUGGCCAAGUCGAAGCUGUUGAAGCUGAUGCAGACGAUUCUACAGACAGUGCAAUCCUCAUUAAUGGCAAUGAGGGUGAUGAAGAAUUAGCUACAAGUAAUGAAGGAACUCUGUCAGCCUAAAGCAGUUCGUUCCACAAGUGUAGAAUCCAAAUUUUGUUAUCUGUUCUUACUCCAACUUUGUAGGGAGCUUACAAGACAAUCGGUUGUUUUUACCUCUCAGGUUGCUAAGAGGAAACCAUAUUGGCGAAGAUCCUUUGACCAUCUCUCAUCAUUCAAUGGAAGCCCCAGGCUAAAUGGAAAUUUACUUCUGGUCAGUAUUAAUAGUUCUUUUGCUGUUGGUGUAUUAUCAAAAGCUUCUGCAUGUACCGUUGAAAAGCUAGAAAUAUAGUGAAAGUUAGAGGUAGCACAUUUUUCAUUGGAUUUUUUUUAUUCUUUGGUGGAAGUUGUAAAAUUGAAUGCAAUCGGUGACUUUUGGUUGUUCAAACUUCGUACUUGCUGGCCCAUUUUAGUCACGGAUGAGAGAUAUAGUAGGGUUGCUAUGCAUAUGUUGGUUUAGCUGUUUCACAGACUAGACCUUUUUAA